This 527-nucleotide ribosomal RNA is filed under the name uncultured prokaryote. Its description in RNAcentral is "bacterial SSU rRNA". It matches the Rfam family "Bacterial small subunit ribosomal RNA", at positions 64 to 582 of the family's 1533-position model. The record is from RNAcentral.
GAGCGGAAACGAUGGGUGCUUGCACCCAGGCGUCGAGCGGCGGACGGGUGAGUAACGCGUGAGAAUCUGCCCAUUUGUGGGGGAUAACUCGGGGAAACUCGAGCUAAUACCGCAUAAUCCCUACGGGGGAAAGCAGGGGACCUUCGGGCCUUGUGCAGAUGGAUGAGCUCGCGUCGGAUUAGCUUGUUGGUGGGGUAAAGGCCUACCAAGGCGACGAUCCGUAGCUGGUCUGAGAGGAUGAUCAGCCACACCGGGACUGAGACACGGCCCGGACUCCUACGGGAGGCAGCAGUGGGGAAUCUUGGACAAUGGGGGCAACCCUGAUCCAGCCAUGCCGCGUGUGUGAAGAAGGCCUUCGGGUUGUAAAGCACUUUCAGCAGGGAGGAAGGCUUACUGUUAAUACCGGUGAGUACUUGACGUUACCUGCAGAAGAAGCACCGGCUAAUUUCGUGCCAGCAGCCGCGGUAAUACGAAAGGUGCGAGCGUUAAUCGGAAUUACUGGGCGUAAAGCGCGCGUAGGCGGUUUG